CCUACGGGAGGCAGCAGUGGGGAAUAUUGGACAAUGGGCGAAAGCCUGAUCCAGCAAUGCCGCGUGAGUGAUGAAGGCCUUAGGGUUGUAAAGCUCUUUUUACCAGGGAUGAUAAUGACAGUACCUGGAGAAUAAGCUCCGGCUAACUCCGUGCCAGCAGCCGCGGUAAUACGGAGGGAGCUAGCGUUAUUCGGAAUUACUGGGCGUAAAGCGUACGUAGGCGGUUAUUCAAGUCAGAGGUGAAANCCCGGGGCUNAACCCCGGA
RNAcentral lists this ribosomal RNA (265 nucleotides) under uncultured bacterium. RNAcentral's name for it is "partial 16S ribosomal RNA". It matches the Rfam family "Bacterial small subunit ribosomal RNA", at positions 338 to 619 of the family's 1533-position model. The record is from RNAcentral.